AUUGAACGCUGGCGGCAUGCCUUACACAUGCAAGUCGAACGGCAGCAUGAUCUAGCUUGCUAGAUUGAUGGCGAGUGGCGAACGGGUGAGUAAUACAUCGGAACGUGCCCUGUAGUGGGGGAUAACUAGUCGAAAGAUUAGCUAAUACCGCAUACGACCUGAGGGUGAAAGUGGGGGACCGCAAGGCCUCAUGCUAUAGGAGCGGCCGAUGUCUGAUUAGCUAGUUGGUGAGGUAAAGGCUCACCAAGGCGCCGAUCAGUAGCUGGUCUGAGAGGACGAGCAGCCACACUGGCAGUGAGACAGGGCAGAGACUCCUACGGGAGGAAGCAGUGGGGAAUUUUGGGCAAUGGGCGAAAGCGUGAUACAGCACUGCCGCGGGUGUGAAGAAGAACUUCGGGUUGUAGAGCACUUUUGUCCGGAGAGAAAUGGAGCUGGUUAAUACCUGGGGUCGAUGACGGUACCGGAAGAAUAAGCACCGGCUAACUACGUG
This 490-nucleotide ribosomal RNA is filed under the name uncultured bacterium. Its description in RNAcentral is "partial 16S ribosomal RNA". It matches the Rfam family "Bacterial small subunit ribosomal RNA", at positions 30 to 507 of the family's 1533-position model. The record is from RNAcentral.